Molecule: ribosomal RNA, 265 nt
Filed under: uncultured bacterium
Lineage: Bacteria
Description: partial 16S ribosomal RNA
Rfam family: Bacterial small subunit ribosomal RNA
Source: RNAcentral
GUCCCUACGGGGCGCAGCAGUGAGGAAUAUUGGUCAAUGGACGCAAGUCUGAACCAGCCAUGCCGCGUGCAGGAAGACGGCUCUAUGAGUUGUAAACUGCUUUUGUACGAGGGUAAACGCAGAUACGUGUAUCUGUAUGAAAGUAUCGUACGAAUCAGGAUCGGCUAACUCCGUUACAGCAGCGGCGGUAAUACGGAGGAUUCAAGCGUUAUCCGGAUUUAUUGGGUUUAAAGGGUGGGUAGGCGGUCGGAUAAGUUAAUGGGGA